Molecule: ribosomal RNA, 484 nt
Filed under: uncultured bacterium
Lineage: Bacteria
Description: partial 16S ribosomal RNA
Rfam family: Bacterial small subunit ribosomal RNA
Source: RNAcentral
AUUGAACGCUGGCGGCAGGCCUAACACAUGCAAGUCGAGCGGAUGAAGGGAGCUUGCUCCUGGAUUCAGCGGCGGACGGGUGAGUAAUGCCUAGGAAUCUGCCUGGUAGUGGGGGAUAACGUCCGGAAACGGGCGCUAAUACCGCAUACGUCCUGAGGGAGAAAGUGGGGGAGCUUCGGACCUCACGCUAUCAGAUGAGCCUAGGUCGGAUUAGCUAGUUGGUGGGGUAAAGGCCUACCAAGGCGACGAUCCGUAACUGGUCUGAGAGGAUGAUAAGUCACACUGGAACUGAGACACGGUCCAGACUACUACGGGAGGCAGCAGUGGGGAAUAUUGGACAAUGGGCGAAAGCCUGAUCCAGCCAUGCCGCGUGUGUGAAGAAGGUCUUCGGAUUGUAAAGCACUUUAAGUUGGGAGGAAGGGCAGUAAGUUAAUACCUUGCUGUUUUGACGUUACCAACAGAAUAAGCACCGGCUAACUUCGUG